RNAcentral lists this ribosomal RNA (447 nucleotides) under uncultured bacterium. RNAcentral's name for it is "bacterial SSU rRNA". It matches the Rfam family "Bacterial small subunit ribosomal RNA", at positions 330 to 793 of the family's 1533-position model. The record is from RNAcentral.
GCCAGACUCCUACGGGAGGCAGCAGUGGGGGAUAUUGCACAAUGGGGGGAACCCUGAUGCAGCGACGCCGCGUGGGUGAAGAAGUAUUUCGGUAUGUAAGGCCCUAUCGGCAGGGAAGAAAUUGGACGGUACCUGACUAAGAAGCCCUGGCUAACUACGUGCCAGCAGCCGCGGUAAUACGUAGGGGGCAAGCGUUAUCCGGAUUCACUGGGUGUAAAGGGAGCGUAGACGGCCAUGCAAGCCUGGAGUGAAAGCCCGGGGCCCAACCCCGGGACUGCUCUGGGAACUGUGCGGCUGGAGUGCGGGAGGGGCAGGCGGAAUUCCUGGUGUAGCGGUGAAAUGCGUAGAUAUCAGGAGGAACACCGGCGGCGAAGGCGGCCUGCUGGACCGCGACUGACGUUGAGGCUCGAAAGCGUGGGGAGCAAACAGGAUUAGAUACCCGAGUAC